Molecule: ribosomal RNA, 892 nt
Filed under: uncultured Bacteroidota bacterium
Lineage: Bacteria; Pseudomonadati; Bacteroidota
Description: bacterial SSU rRNA
Rfam family: Bacterial small subunit ribosomal RNA
Source: RNAcentral
AUGAACGCUAGCUACAGGCUUAACACAUGCAAGUUGAGGGGCAGCAUGACGGAAGCUUGCUUCCGUUGAUGGCGACCGGCGCACGGGUGAGUAACGCGUAUCCAACCUGCCCUUGUCCAUCGGAUAACCCGUCGAAAGGCGGCCUAACACGAUAUGGUGUUCCACGAAGGCAUCUGAACGGAACUAAAUGCGAAGGAGAAGGAUGGGGAUGCGUCUGAUUAGCUUGUUGGCGGGGUAACGGCCCACCAAGGCGACGAUCAGUAGGGGUUCUGAGAGGAAGGUCCCCCACAUUGGAACUGAGACACGGUCCAAACUCCUACGGGAGGCAGCAGUGAGGAAUAUUGGUCAAUGGGCGCGAGCCUGAACCAGCCAAGUAGCGUGCAGGAAGACGGCCCUAUGGGUUGUAAACUGCUUUUAUGCGGGGAUAAAGUGUGGGACGUGUCCCAUAUUGCAGGUACCGCAUGAAUAAGGACCGGCUAAUUCCGUGCCAGCAGCCGCGGUAAUACGGAAGGUCCGGGCGUUAUCCGGAUUUAUUGGGUUUAAAGGGAGCGUAGGCCGUCUGUUAAGCGUGUUGUGAAAUGUCGUGGCUCAACCGGGGCACUGCAGCGCGAACUGGCAGACUUGAGUGCACGGUAGGAAGGCGGAAUUCGUCGUGUAGCGGUGAAAUGCUUAGAUAUGACGAAGAACUCCGAUUGCGAAGGCAGCUUUCCGUAGUGUAACUGACGCUGAAGCUCGAAAGCGUGGGUAUCGAACAGGAUUAGAUACCCUGGUAGUCCACGCGGUAAACGAUGGAUGCUCGCUGUUUGCGUCUGACGUAAGCGGCCAAGCGAAAGCGUUAAGCAUCCCACCUGGGGAGUACGCCGGCAACGGUGCAACUCAAAUGAAUUGACGG